RNAcentral lists this ribosomal RNA (253 nucleotides) under uncultured bacterium. RNAcentral describes it as "partial 16S ribosomal RNA". It matches the Rfam family "Bacterial small subunit ribosomal RNA", at positions 524 to 776 of the family's 1533-position model. The record is from RNAcentral.
UACGUAGGGUGCAAGCGUUGUCCGGAAUUAUUGGGCGUAAAGAGCUCGUAGGCGGUCUGUUACGUCUGCUGUGAAAACCCAGGGCUUAACCCUGGGCUUGCAGUGGAUACGGGCAGACUAGAGGCAGGUAGGGGAGAAUGGAAUUCCUGGUGUAGCGGUGAAAUGCGCAGAUAUCAGGAAGAACACCCGUGGCUAAGGCGGUUCUCUAGUACGGUACUGACGCUGAGACGCGAAAGCGUGGGGAGCGAACAGG